UGAGGAAUAUUGGGCAAUGCCCGCAAGGGUGACCCAGCAACGCCGCGUGGAGGAUGAAUGUCGUAAGAUUGUAAACUCCUGUUAGAGGGGAAGAAUAGUACCGGUUGGACCGGUAUAUGACUGUACCCUCAGAGAAAGCCCCGGCUAACUACGUGCCAGCAGCCGCGGUAAUACGUAGGGGGCAAGCGUUGUCCGGAUUUACUGGGUGUAAAGGGCGCGCAGGCGGGAUAAAAAGUCAGUGGUGAAAUCCUACAGCUUAACUGUAGAACUGCCUCUGAUACUUUUAUUCUUGAGUUCGGGAGAGAGAGACGGAAUUCCAGGUGUGGUGGUCAAAUACGUAGAUAUCUGGAAGAACACCAGUUGCGAAGGCGGUCUCUUGGUCCGACACUGACGCUGAGGCGCGAAAGCGUGGGGAGCAAACA
This 422-nucleotide ribosomal RNA is filed under the name uncultured bacterium. RNAcentral's name for it is "bacterial SSU rRNA". It matches the Rfam family "Bacterial small subunit ribosomal RNA", at positions 355 to 774 of the family's 1533-position model. The record is from RNAcentral.